ACGGGUGAGUAAUACAUCGGAACGUGCCCGAUCGUGGGGGAUAACUACUCGAAAGAGUAGCUAAUACCGCAUACGAUCUACGGAUGAAAGCGGGGGACCUUAGGGCCUCGAGCGGACGGAGCGGCCGAUGGCAGAUUAGGUAGUUGGUGGGAUAAAAGCUUACCAAGCCGACGAUCUGUAGCUGGUCUGAGAGGACGACCAGCCACACUGGGACUGAGACACGGCCCAGACUCCUACGGGAGGCAGCAGUGGGGAAUUUUGGACAAUGGGCGAAAGCCUGAUCCAGCAAUGCCGCGUGCAGGAUGAAGGCCUUCGGGUUGUAAACUGCUUUUGUACGGAACGAAAAGGCUCCUUUUAAUACAGGGGGCUCAUGACGGUACCGUAAGAAUAAGCACCGGCUAACUACGUGCCAGCAGCCGCGGUAAUACGUAGGGUGCGAGCGUUAAUCGGAAUUACUGGGCGUAAAGCGUGCGCAGGCGGUUAUGUAAGACAGAGGUGAAAUCCCCGGGCUCAACCUGGGAACUGCCUUUGUGACUGCAUAGCUAGAGUACGGCAGAGGGGGAUGGAAUUCCGCGUGUAGCAG
This 583-nucleotide ribosomal RNA is filed under the name uncultured bacterium. Its description in RNAcentral is "bacterial SSU rRNA". It matches the Rfam family "Bacterial small subunit ribosomal RNA", at positions 102 to 681 of the family's 1533-position model. The record is from RNAcentral.